GUCCACGCCGUAAACGAUGUCAACUAGCCGUCGGGUUCACUUAAGAACUUGGUGGCGCAGCUAACGCGAUAAGUUGACCGCCUGGGGAGUACGGCCGCAAGGCUAAACUCAAAGGAAUUGACGGGGCCCGCACAAGCGGUGGAGCAUGUGGUUUAAUUCGAUGCAACGCGAAGAACCUUACCUGCCCUUGACAUCCACGGAACUUUCCAGAGAUGGAUUGGUGCCUUCGGGAACCGUGAGACAGGUGCUGCAUGGCUGUCGU
Molecule: ribosomal RNA, 262 nt
Filed under: uncultured bacterium
Lineage: Bacteria
Description: partial 16S ribosomal RNA
Rfam family: Bacterial small subunit ribosomal RNA
Source: RNAcentral